CGGAUUCCAUUGGCUUCAAUAACACGUUUGUUGUCUAUAAUGGGAGGUGGCCACCACCGCCAUUUUGACCGUGUCAUAGGUUCCGUCCAGCCCAGACAAUUCCAUAAAAGGGAAGAGAGGAGGCGCUGAGGGUGUGGCUGUAAGGCUGGGCUCGAGUGACGACACCCAGGCGAACUAGCUACGAGCUAACCUGAAGCUAACCCUGGCUAACCCAAAGCUAAAGCGGAGGUGGGAGCCGAGCUAACGGAUGUAGCCACCUAGCUUCAACCCAACCGGAGCUAACUGGAACACCCAUCGACCUGAACCUCACACGGAGUUUAGGUGGAGGUUUUCUGCGCCUGUUCGUGAGAAGUACCUGUAUUAAAAAAGUUUUAAAUCGAUCUAUUAAAAGGUCACCAUGGCAGCCUGUGUGUCAACGUCAGCUACACAAAGCAGCAAGUGUAAGUACCAAGUACUUGUCUUGACCACUUCAUGAAUGGUUUUGUACUUUAAACAGCUAGGCCAAACCUGUUAUUUUUUCCUCCAUAGCCAUUUGGAUCAUUGGAGACAGCUGAGUGAGGCGUGGUGCCCAGAGAGCUGCAGAGACAACCUUGGCCUCCCUGACGUCUGUGUCUCUUGGUUUGGUUGGGGCGGACCAUCGACAUACAUACAUGUGCCGACACUUUGCGCCCUGUUUUAUAAACUGUAGUGUUAAAAAUAAAUGUUUUUGCUCAA
Molecule: non-coding RNA, 714 nt
Organism: Nothobranchius furzeri (turquoise killifish)
Lineage: Eukaryota; Metazoa; Chordata; Actinopteri; Cyprinodontiformes; Nothobranchiidae
Source: RefSeq, a predicted model, not a curated record